This 253-nucleotide ribosomal RNA is filed under the name uncultured bacterium. RNAcentral's name for it is "partial 16S ribosomal RNA". It matches the Rfam family "Bacterial small subunit ribosomal RNA", at positions 524 to 776 of the family's 1533-position model. The record is from RNAcentral.
GACGUAGGGGGCCAGCGUUGUUCGGAAUUACUGGGUGUAAAGGGUCAGUAGGCGGUGUGGCAAGUUGGGAGUGAAAUCUAUGGGCUCAACCCAUAGGCUGCUUCCAAAACUGCUGUGCUUGAGUGUGGGAGAGGCGCGUGGAAUUGCAGGUGUAGCGGUGAAAUGUGUAGAUAUCUGCAGGAACACCCGUGGCGAAAGCGGCGCGCUGGACCACAACUGACGCUGAAUGACGAAAGCUAGGGGAGCAAACAGG